Molecule: ribosomal RNA, 465 nt
Filed under: uncultured bacterium
Lineage: Bacteria
Description: partial 16S ribosomal RNA
Rfam family: Bacterial small subunit ribosomal RNA
Source: RNAcentral
GAUGAACGCUGGCGGCGUGCUUAACACAUGCAAGUCGAACGAUGAAGCCCAGCUUGCUGGGUGGAUUAGUGGCGAACGGGUGAGUAACACGUGAGUAACCUGCCCUUAACUCUGGGAUAAGCCUGGGAAACUGGGUCUAAUACCGGAUAGGAGCGUCCACCGCAUGGUGGGUGUUGGAAAGAUUUAUCGGUUUUGGAUGGACUCGCGGCCUAUCAGCUUGUUGGUGAGGUAAUGGCUCACCAAGGCGACGACGGGUAGCCGGCCUGAGAGGGUGACCGGCCACCCGGGGACUGAGCCACGGCCCAAACUCCUCCGGGGGGCAGCAGGGGGGAAUAUUGCACAAGGGGCGCAAGCCUGAUGCAGGGGCCCCGGGUGGGGGAUGACGGCCUUCGGGUUUUAAACCUUUUUCAGUAGGGAAGAAGCGAAAGGGACGGUACCGGCAGAAGAAGCACCGGCUAACUACUU